This 484-nucleotide ribosomal RNA is filed under the name uncultured bacterium. RNAcentral's name for it is "partial 16S ribosomal RNA". It matches the Rfam family "Bacterial small subunit ribosomal RNA", at positions 30 to 507 of the family's 1533-position model. The record is from RNAcentral.
AUUGAACGCUGGCGGCAGGCCUAACACAUGCAAGUCGAGCGGAUGAAGGGAGCUUGCUCCUGGAUUCAGCGGCGGACGGGUGAGUAAUGCCUAGGAAUCUGCCUGGUAGUGGGGGAUAACGUCCGGAAACGGGCGCUAAUACCGCAUACGUCCUGAGGGAGAAAGUGGGGGAUCUUCGGACCUCACGCUAUCAGAUGAGCCUAGGUCGGAUUAGCUAGUUGGUGGGGUAAAGGCCUACCAAGGCGACGAUCCGUAACUGGUCUGAGAGGAUGAUCAGUCACACUGGAACUGAGACACGGUCCAGACUCCUACGGGAGGCAGCAGUGGGGAAUACUGGACAAUGGGCGAAAGCCUGAUCCAGCCAUGCCGCGUGUGUGAAGAGGGUCUUCGGAUUGUAAAGCACUUUAAGUUGGGAGGAAGGGCAGUAAGUUAAUACCUUGCUGUUUUGACGUUACCAACAGAAUAAGCACCGGCUAACUUCGUG